GGGUUGUGAGGUUAAGCGACUAAGCGUACACGGUGGAUGCCCUGGCAGUCAGAGGCGAUGAAGGACGUGCUAAUCUGCGAUAAGCGUCGGUAAGGUGAUAUGAACCGUUAUAACCGGCGAUUUCCGAAUGGGGAAACCCAGUGUGAUUCGUCACACUAUCAUUAACUGAAUCCAUAGGUUAAUGAGGCGAACCGGGGGAACUGAAACAUCUAAGUACCCCGAGGAAAAGAAAUCAACCGAGAUUCCCCCAGUAGCGGCGAGCGAACGGGGAGCAGCCCAGAGCCUGAAUCAGUGUGUGUGUUAGUGGAAGCGUCUGGAAAGGCGCGCGAUACAGGGUGACAGCCCCGUACACAAAAAUGCACAUGCUGUGAGCUCGAUGAGUAGGGCGGGACACGUGGUAUCCUGUCUGAAUAUGGGGGGACCAUCCUCCAAGGCUAAAUACUCCUGACUGACCGAUAGUGAACCAGUACCGUGAGGGAAAGGCGAAAAGAACCCCGGCGAGGGGAGUGAAAAAGAACCUGAAACCGUGUACGUACAAGCAGUGGGAGCACGCUUAGGCGUGUGACUGCGUACCUUUUGUAUAAUGGGUCAGCGACUUAUAUUCUGUAGCAAGGUUAACCGAAUAGGGGAGCCGAAGGGAAACCGAGUCUUAACUGGGCGUUAAGUUGCAGGGUAUAGACCCGAAACCCGGUGAUCUAGCCAUGGGCAGGUUGAAGGUUGGGUAACACUAACUGGAGGACCGAACCGACUAAUGUUGAAAAAUUAGCGGAUGACUUGUGGCUGGGGGUGAAAGGCCAAUCAAACCGGGAGAUAGCUGGUUCUCCCCGAAAGCUAUUUAGGUAGCGCCUCGUGAAUUCAUCUCCGGGGGUAGAGCACUGUUUCGGCAAGGGGGUCAUCCCGACUUACCAACCCGAUGCAAACUGCGAAUACCGGAGAAUGUUAUCACGGGAGACACACGGCGGGUGCUAACGUCCGUCGUGAAGAGGGAAACAACCCAGACCGCCAGCUAAGGUCCCAAAGUCAUGGUUAAGUGGGAAACGAUGUGGGAAGGCCCAGACAGCCAGGAUGUUGGCUUAGAAGCAGCCAUCAUUUAAAGAAAGCGUAAUAGCUCACUGGUCGAGUCGGCCUGCGCGGAAGAUGUAACGGGGCUAAACCAUGCACCGAAGCUGCGGCAGCGACGCUGAUGCGUUGUUGGGUAGGGGAGCGUUCUGUAAGCCUGUGAAGGUGUGCUGUGAGGCAUGCUGGAGGUAUCAGAAGUGCGAAUGCUGACAUAAGUAACGAUAAAGCGGGUGAAAAGCCCGCUCGCCGGAAGACCAAGGGUUCCUGUCCAACGUUAAUCGGGGCAGGGUGAGUCGACCCCUAAGGCGAGGCCGAAAGGCGUAGUCGAUGGGAAACAGGUUAAUAUUCCUGUACUUGGUGUUACUGCGAAGGGGGGACGGAGAAGGCUAUGUUGGCCGGGCGACGGUUGUCCCGGUUUAAGCGUGUAGGCUGGUUUUCCAGGCAAAUCCGGAAAAUCAAGGCUGAGGCGUGAUGACGAGGCACUACGGUGCUGAAGCAACAAAUGCCCUGCUUCCAGGAAAAGCCUCUAAGCAUCAGGUAACAUCAAAUCGUACCCCAAACCGACACAGGUGGUCAGGUAGAGAAUACCAAGGCGCUUGAGAGAACUCGGGUGAAGGAACUAGGCAAAAUGGUGCCGUAACUUCGGGAGAAGGCACGCUGAUAUGUAGGUGAAGCGACUUGCUCGUGGAGCUGAAAUCAGUCGAAGAUACCAGCUGGCUGCAACUGUUUAUUAAAAACACAGCACUGUGCAAACACGAAAGUGGACGUAUACGGUGUGACGCCUGCCCGGUGCCGGAAGGUUAAUUGAUGGGGUCAGCGCAAGCGAAGCUCUUGAUCGAAGCCCCGGUAAACGGCGGCCGUAACUAUAACGGUCCUAAGGUAGCGAAAUUCCUUGUCGGGUAAGUUCCGACCUGCACGAAUGGCGUAAUGAUGGCCAGGCUGUCUCCACCCGAGACUCAGUGAAAUUGAACUCGCUGUGAAGAUGCAGUGUACCCGCGGCAAGACGGAAAGACCCCGUGAACCUUUACUAUAGCUUGACACUGAACAUUGAGCCUUGAUGUGUAGGAUAGGUGGGAGGCUUUGAAGUGUGGACGCCAGUCUGCAUGGAGCCGACCUUGAAAUACCACCCUUUAAUGUUUGAUGUUCUAACGU
RNAcentral lists this ribosomal RNA (2211 nucleotides) under Escherichia coli. Its description in RNAcentral is "partial 23S ribosomal RNA". It matches the Rfam family "Bacterial large subunit ribosomal RNA", at positions 1 to 2228 of the family's 2925-position model. The record is from RNAcentral. Lineage: Bacteria; Pseudomonadati; Pseudomonadota; Gammaproteobacteria; Enterobacterales; Enterobacteriaceae.